This 130-nucleotide unclassified non-coding RNA is filed under the name Pseudomonas aeruginosa. The record is from RNAcentral. Lineage: Bacteria; Pseudomonadati; Pseudomonadota; Gammaproteobacteria; Pseudomonadales; Pseudomonadaceae.
UCAGUCCGGCGCUGCCCCCGCAACGGUAAGCGAGCGAAAUUCUCUUCAGGCCACUGUGCUCCAGCAUGGGAAGGCGAGGAUUUCACGACCCUCGCAAGCCCGGAGACCGGCCUGCAACGCCCUGUUGGCA